AUUUACAACAGCUCCAUGUCAAAGAUAUUUUUCAAAAUAGAAUUUCAGUGGUUUAUAGUUUUGUUUGGGAACCUCAUGCCUUAAAAUUAUGAAUAAUCACCACUAAGAACACUGUUGUGACCCAGAAACUGAGUGUAUUCUAAUUACAUUGUGUCCUCUAGGAAAAAUAAUUCAAAAGAUUGGACAGUCAACUUUGGAAUUGUAGUAAAUAAACCAUAUAUGACACGAAAAGUCCAAAACAUUAUUUUUCAUGAAAAUUAUAGCAGUCCUGGGCUUCAUGAUGAUAUUGCCCUUGUGCAGCUUGCUGAAGAAGUUUCUUUUACGAAGUACAUUCGCAGGAUUUGUCUUCCUGAAGCCAAAAUGAAGCUCUCAGAAAAUGACAAUGUUGUAGUUACAGGUUGGGGAACACUUUAUAUGAAUGGUUCAUUUCCAGUGAUACUUCAAGAAGCCUUUUUGAAGAUUAUUGACAACAAAAUUUGCAAUGCCUCAUAUGCAUACUCUGGCUUUGUGACUGAUAGAAUGUUAUGUGCUGGAUUUAUGUCAGGAGAAGCUGAUGCAUGUCAG
This 564-nucleotide small RNA is filed under the name Pongo abelii (Sumatran orangutan). Its description in RNAcentral is "retained intron". The record is from RNAcentral. Lineage: Eukaryota; Metazoa; Chordata; Mammalia; Primates; Hominidae.